GCAUUUGUAGCUCAGUGGAUAGAGCGGCCGCCUCCUAAGCGGCAGGUCCCGGGUUCGAUCCCCGGCAAGUGCA
This 73-nucleotide transfer RNA is filed under the name Clostridiales bacterium. RNAcentral's name for it is "tRNA-Arg". It matches the Rfam family "tRNA". From Rfam's summary of the family: Transfer RNA (tRNA) molecules are approximately 80 nucleotides in length. The record is from RNAcentral. Lineage: Bacteria; Bacillati; Bacillota; Clostridia; Eubacteriales.